RNAcentral lists this ribosomal RNA (253 nucleotides) under uncultured bacterium. RNAcentral's name for it is "partial 16S ribosomal RNA". It matches the Rfam family "Bacterial small subunit ribosomal RNA", at positions 524 to 776 of the family's 1533-position model. The record is from RNAcentral.
UACGUAGGCAGCGAGCGUUGUUCGGAGUUACUGGGCGUAAAGGGCGCGUAGGCGGUUCGAUAAGUCCCGUGUGAAAUCCCUCGGCUCAACUGAGGAAUGGCACGGGAAACUGACGGGCUUGAGUUCGGGAGAGGGAAGCGGAAUUCCGGGUGUAGCGGUGAAAUGCGUAGAUAUCCGGAGGAACACCGGUGGCGAAGGCGGCUUCCUGGACCGACACUGACGCUGAGGCGCGAAAGCUAGGGGAGCAAACGGG